Molecule: ribosomal RNA, 249 nt
Filed under: uncultured bacterium
Lineage: Bacteria
Description: partial 16S ribosomal RNA
Rfam family: Bacterial small subunit ribosomal RNA
Source: RNAcentral
UGACGUAGGGAGCAAGCGUUGUCCGGAAGUCAAUUGGGCGUAAAGCGCGCGUAGGCGGGCCCUGUAAAGUCCCGUUGUGAAAGUCAAAAGGCUCAACCUUUGAAAAGCCGAUGGAUUACUGCAGGGCUGGAGUCCGGAAGAGGCGAAGUGGAAUUCCUGGUGGUAAGUCCGGUGGAAUGCGCAGGAUAAUCGGGAGGAACACCGGUGGCGAAGGCGAAGCCCCUUGGACCCUGGUACGUAGGACGCUCC